AGCAGCCGCGGUAAUUCCAGCUCCAAUAGCGUAUAUUAAAGUUGUUGCAGUUAAAAAGCUCGUAGUUGAAUUUCGGGGUCAGUAAGUUGGUCGUGCCACUGGUAUGUACUGGCUUUACUGAUUCCUCCUUCUUGUAGAACCGUAAUGCCAUUAAGUUGGUGUUGCGGGAAAACAGGACUGUUACUUUGAAAAAAUUAGAGUGUUUAAAGCAAGCUAACGCUUGAAUACAUUAGCAUGGAAUAAUGAAAUAGGACGAACGACCCUAUUUUGUUGGUUUCUAGGAUUGACGUAAUGAUUAAUAGGGAUAGUUGGGGGCAUUAGUAUUCAAUUGUCAGAGGUGAAAUUCUUGGAUUUAUUGAAGACUAACUACUGCGAAAGCAUUUGCCAAGGAUGUUUUCAUUAAUCAAGAACGAAAGUUAGGGGAUCGAAGACGAUCAGAUACCGUCGUAGUCUUAACCAUAAACUAUGCCGACUAGGGAUCGGAUGAUGUUAAUUUUUUAAUGACUCAUUCGGCGCCUUA
Molecule: ribosomal RNA, 520 nt
Filed under: uncultured Glomus
Lineage: Eukaryota; Fungi; Glomeromycota; Glomeromycetes; Glomerales; Glomeraceae
Description: SSU rRNA
Rfam family: Eukaryotic small subunit ribosomal RNA
Source: RNAcentral